NNNGACCUCAGAUCGAGCGAGACUACCCGCUGAAUUUAAGCAUAUCACUAAGCGGAGGAAAAGAAACUAACCAGGAUUCCCUCAGUAGCGGCGAGUGAAGCGGGAAGAGCCCAUCGCCGAAUCUCCGCGUCCUAGCGGCGUGAGAGAAAUGUGGCGUGAGGAAGCCGUGGCUAACCGGAGACGUGGAGCCGACGUCCUUGUGAAGGAGGCUUAUCCCAUAGAGUGUGUUAGGCCCCCGCAGGCGCCGUUACCGGUGGCAUCAGGCUUCUAGGAGUCGGGUUGUUUUAGAUUGCAGCCCUAAGACGGGUGGUAAACUCCAUCCAAGGCUAAAUACCCAGCACGAGACCGAUAGUUCACAAGUACCAUGAGGGAAAGU
This 376-nucleotide ribosomal RNA is filed under the name Ophiothrix fragilis. RNAcentral describes it as "eukaryotic LSU rRNA". It matches the Rfam family "Eukaryotic large subunit ribosomal RNA", at positions 1 to 364 of the family's 3401-position model. Lineage: Eukaryota; Metazoa; Echinodermata; Ophiuroidea; Amphilepidida; Ophiotrichidae. The record is from RNAcentral.